This 585-nucleotide ribosomal RNA is filed under the name uncultured bacterium. RNAcentral's name for it is "partial 16S ribosomal RNA". It matches the Rfam family "Bacterial small subunit ribosomal RNA", at positions 355 to 1375 of the family's 1533-position model. The record is from RNAcentral.
CGGGGAAUUUUGGACAAUGGGCGAAAGCCUGAUCCAGCAAUGCCGCGUGUGUGAAGAAGGCCUUCGGGUUGUAAAGCACUUUUGUCCGGAAAGAAAUCCUCUGGGUUAAUACCUCGGGGGGAUGACGGUACCGGAAGAAUAAGCACCGGCUAACUACGUGCCAGCAGCCGCGGUAAUACGUAGGGUGCAAGCGUUAAUCGGAAUUACUGGGCGUAAAGCGUGCGCAGGCGGUUUUGUAAGACGGAUGUGAAAUCCCCGGGCUUAACCUGGGAACUGCAUUCGUGACUGCAAGGCUAGAGUAUGGCAGAGGGGGGUAGAAUUCCACGUGUAGCAGUGAAAUGCGUAGAGAUGUGGAGGAAUACCGAUGGCGAAGGCAGCCCCCUGGGCCAAUACUGACGCUCAUGCACGAAAGCGUGGGGAGCAAACAGGAUUAGAUACCCUGGUAGUCCACGCCCUAAACGAUGUCAACUAGUUGUUGGGGAUUCAUUUCCCUAGUAACGUAGCUAACGCGUGAAGUUGACCGCCUGGGGAGUACGGUCGCAAGAUUAAAACUCAAAGGAAUUGACGGGGUCAUAGCUGUUUCCU